This 628-nucleotide long non-coding RNA is filed under the name Struthio camelus australis. Its description in RNAcentral is "lncRNA (ENSSCUG00000010216.1)". Lineage: Eukaryota; Metazoa; Chordata; Aves; Struthioniformes; Struthionidae. The record is from RNAcentral.
CACAGAAAGGCCUUGGAGUCUUCAAAUGUAUAGUUUAUUGAAAACUAGUUGGAUAAACAUCUUUCAGGAGUGACACAAGUACAACUCUGUCCUAAGAAUAAGACAUUUCCUUUUUCUUCUUUUUGGUCUAGGACGGCUGUACUUUCCACUUCCUAUUUGCUUAAGAUAGAUAUUUGUGCCUGGCCAAGGCACAAUGUAGCUACAUUGACUGCAUUAAGCUAGUGGUAUCCAACCUUUCUUAUGGAAGCACUGAAAGAACUUAUAUUUGUCAGUACUCGGCUACAUGUGGGUCUCUUUUAUAUUAAGCAGUAUAGACUACAACAUACCCAGAUGUGCUACAGAAAGCUUAUCUGAAGACAUCACACUCACAAUUUGGCCUUAUCUACCCUGUUAAUCGUCAGAAAGAGUCCAUCCUUGCAUGGCAAAUAUUUUCUCUGUACUGGAUCUGCCCCAAAGGCCCAAGGAAUUUUUCCUAAAGGUUUAUUUCAUGUCCCAUAAGGAUAAAAGAUCUGCACUGAAGAUUUUGGAAGACAUAUGAACCCUUUAAAGGCUAGUACCAGGAGCCUGCAGGUCUGAAAGGUGAACAAUCAGCAGAGGAAAUCAGUAAUGUAACAAGAGUUUAAUUAAC